AGAAUUGAAUAUCCAAACCCCUAUCUAGAUAGUGUGCUUCUUAGAAUACAAAUAGAAUUAAAAAUGUGUCAGUAAUCAAAAAGGGACAGCAUCGGCAAACAGUUGACAUCGAAAUUGUCUGCUCAUCAAAGAGGAAUGACAGAUCCUCUUUCAUCAACAUGUUUUCCUUAGGAAUGGUGCCAGGAUGCAGGGCAUAAGUGAGAGGACAGCCCCCUUGGUUAUGAGGUAACUAAAAAUAGCCACCUUUGAAAGCCAUCAGAGGUCACUUGUUUUGAAGAAGAUCAUCAGAAGAACUUUGAACUAUAAUAUAUUGACUAUUAAAUCAUGUUAUUUUCUUCAUUUGUCAAAAUUACUGGAAUGUAGCAAAUACUUGAGACUUUGAAAUGAGUAGAUUUUGAGUAGAUUUAUUAAUGAAAUCAAAGGACACACAAAAACAGUGUAAUUCAUCCAUCCGGAGACUCUACAUAUGAGUUUGAAAACUUUUAGUAUGUAUGCCAAUUAGUCCGUCCAGCCAAAUAGGCACAACAAUUUUCUGAUAAUAAGAAAAAUAAGACCAAGAAGCUUGCUGGAAUACUAAGAAAAACAACAGAGGGAGUUAAAUUUUUCAUUAAAAUUGACCACUUCCAGAGGCCUUGCAGGAAAUAUUAAAAUAAGUUCUUUAAUGAGAAGGAAAAUGAUAUAGAUCAGAAACUUGGAUCUGCAUGAAGAUAUACCUUAAAAAAGGAAGAGCAUCAGAAAAAUGAAUAAGUGAAGGUCAAGUGCUGUGCUGUACUGAUUGAUAGAUUGUCUCCAGCAGGAAGUUUGACAAUGGGAAACCUAGAAGCAGAUGUGCCUGGUACAUAGCAGGGGUGGUGGAGGUUUCAGGAUUAUGUUGACUAAAAUAUGGAGGCUCUGUAUCUGUAUAUAGCCUGAGGACCUCAACAGAUGCACCUGCCCAAUCUUAAACUUUCCAGCAAUCUGAAUUGUGAGCCAAAUAUUUUUUUUAAUAAAUUAUCCACCUUCAAGUAUUAUAGCAACAAAAAAAAGGAAAUGCAACGAGUCAAUGUACUUACUGAGAUUGCAGAAGAGACUGAACAUUGUUCUAGGCUCUGAAGAGAAAGAUGAAAAAGAAGAAAGUACUCCUGAGUAUGUGACUACAGCUAGCACUGAGGCAAGUACAAACUCUAGGCAUGAGGCUUUUGGUCUCACUCAUAGCGAAUUUGAGCACUGGCUUUUUUGUUGGGCUUCCAUUCUUCUCUCAGCACAAGAAUACCAACGUUCAUGACCCAGGAAGGACCAACUUGUACUUGACAGAGCUAAGAAACAGCAUUUCGCCAUGUCACGCAGGCUGGUCUUCAACUCCUGGACUCAAGCUGUCCACGGGCCUCGGCCUCCCAAAGUGCUAGGAUUACAGGCAUGAGCCACUAUGUCCGGCUUGGAGUUUUUAGUCUCAUCAAACAAACUCACCCAAAUGUCCCUUGGUGACAAAAAGUUUUCUGAACGAUUAAGUAAUCUUUGUUUCUCAAGCCUGACAAAAUAAAAAGUUUUCUGUCUCUC
This is a long non-coding RNA of Pongo pygmaeus (Bornean orangutan), 1536 nucleotides long. RefSeq lists it as uncharacterized. Lineage: Eukaryota; Metazoa; Chordata; Mammalia; Primates; Hominidae. The record is from RefSeq and is a predicted model, not a curated record. The transcript has 8 exons.